GACGAACGCUGGCGGCGCGCUUAACACAUGCAAGUCGAACGGAAAGGCCUGCUUUCCCUUGUGGAUUGCGGGUACUCGAGUGGCGAACGGGUGAGUAACACGUGAGUGAUCUGCCCCCAACUUGGGUAUAAGCCUGGGAAACUGGGUCUAAUUCCCGAUAGGACUGCAGGGUGGUGCCUGUGGUGGAAAACGAUUUUCUAGUGGUUGGGGAUGAGCUCGCGGCCUAUCAGCUUGUUGGUGGGGUAAUGGCCUACCAAGGCGGCGACGGGUAGCCGGCCUGGGAGGGUGGACGGCCGCAUUGGGACUGAGAUCCGGCCCAGACUCCUACGGGAGGCAGCAGUGGGGAAUCUUGCGCGAUGGGCGGAAGCCUGAUGCAGCGACGCCGCGUGGGGGAUGACGGCCUUCGGGUUGUAAACUCCUUUCGACCGCGAGGAAGCCACCUGGUUGGAAGGGUGGUGACGGUAGUGGUAGAAGAAGCACCGGCUAACUACGUG
Molecule: ribosomal RNA, 494 nt
Filed under: uncultured bacterium
Lineage: Bacteria
Description: partial 16S ribosomal RNA
Rfam family: Bacterial small subunit ribosomal RNA
Source: RNAcentral